CAGGCCUAACACAUGCAAGUCGGACGGUAACAUGAGGUGCUUGCACUUUGAUGACGAGUGGCGCACGGGUGCGCAACGCGUAUAGAACCUACCCUGUACAGGGGGAUAGCCCAGAGAAAUUUGGAUUAAUACCCCGUGGUAAAUAUAAAUGGCAUCAUUUAUAUUUUAAAGUUUUCGGACGGUACGGGAUGGCUAUGCGUCCUAUUAGUUAGAUGGUGAGGUAACGGCUCACCAUGGCAGCGAUAGGUAGGGGCCCUGAGAGGGGGAUCCCCCACACUGGUACUGAGACACGGACCAGACUCCUACGGGAGGCAGCAGUGAGGAAUAUUGGACAAUGGGCGCAAGCCUGAUCCAGCCAUGCCGCGUGCAGGAAGACGGCCCUAUGGGUUGUAAACUGCUUUUAUACGGGAAGAAUAAGGGACACGUGUGUCCUGGUGACGGUACCGUAAGAAUAAGGACCGGCUAACUCCGUGCCAGCAGCCGCGGUAAUACGGAGGGUCCGAGCGUUAUCCGGAAUUAUUGGGUUUAAAGGGUCCGCAGGCGGGCAAUUAAGUCAGGGGUGAAAUGGUGCGGCUCAACCGUAGCACUGCCCUUGAUACUGGUUGUCUUGAGUCAUAGUGAAGUGGCCGGAAUAUGUAGUGUAGCGGUGAAAUGCAUAGAUAUUACAUAGAACACCGAUUGCGAAGGCAGGUCACUAACUAUCGACUGACGCUGAUGGACGAAAGCGUGGGGAGCGAACGGGAUUAGAUACCCCGGUAGUCCACGCCGUAAACGAUGGAUACUAGCUGUCCGCUGCCUUGAGCAGUGGGCGGCCCAGCGAAAGUGAUAAGUAUCCCACCUGGGGAGUACGUUCGCAAGAAUGAAACUCAAAGGAAUUGACGGGGGCCCGCACAAGCGGUGGAGCAUG
Molecule: ribosomal RNA, 907 nt
Filed under: uncultured bacterium
Lineage: Bacteria
Description: bacterial SSU rRNA
Rfam family: Bacterial small subunit ribosomal RNA
Source: RNAcentral